This 253-nucleotide ribosomal RNA is filed under the name uncultured bacterium. RNAcentral's name for it is "partial 16S ribosomal RNA". It matches the Rfam family "Bacterial small subunit ribosomal RNA", at positions 524 to 776 of the family's 1533-position model. The record is from RNAcentral.
UACGUAGGGUGCGAGCGUUAAUCGGAAUUACUGGGCGUAAAGCGUCCGCAGGUGGCUGUGUAAGUCUGCUGUCAAAGACCGGGGCUUAACUUCGGAAAGGCAGUGGAAACUGAACAGCUAGAGUAUGGUAGGGGCAGAGGGAAUUCCUGGUGUAGCGGUGAAAUGCGUAGAGAUCAGGAAGAACAUCGGUGGCGAAGGCGCUCUGCUGGACCAUAACUGACACUCAGGGACGAAAGCUAGGGGAGCGAAUGGG